AGGCUUUCUUAAUAAUCAAAGCCAGGAAAAGCAUAAAAGAUAAAGCCAUUUCAUAAACUUACACUAGAUCAGCCAUAGAAACAAAACCUAAGGUUAAUUAUGAAGUUAAGUGAAACAACAUGGAAAAAGAGCCUGGAAAUUACACAAGGAAAAUAGAAAAGCCAUCAAGUGAAAUCACAUAACUACUAAGGUUUACCCAAAUUGGACCCAAUCUAGAACAGAACAGACUACAGACCAC
RNAcentral lists this long non-coding RNA (238 nucleotides) under Manihot esculenta (cassava). RNAcentral describes it as "long non-coding RNA (MESC_LNC013030)". Lineage: Eukaryota; Viridiplantae; Streptophyta; Magnoliopsida; Malpighiales; Euphorbiaceae. The record is from RNAcentral.